This 313-nucleotide unclassified non-coding RNA is filed under the name Hevea brasiliensis (rubber tree). Lineage: Eukaryota; Viridiplantae; Streptophyta; Magnoliopsida; Malpighiales; Euphorbiaceae. The record is from RNAcentral.
GGAACGGCUUGAUGCCAAGAGCUAUGUAGGUUUUCUAUGAAUGUAGGCAUACUAAAAAAUGACUACCUAAUCUACAUAGCUCUUGGCAUCAAGCCGUUCCCUGCUGCAAAUCCUGAAUGAAUUGCAUAAGGCUGUUUCUUACACCCUGGAAGAACUUUGACCAUAGUUUCCCUCCACAGGCUUAUCACAAAAUUUAUAUUUUUCUUCAACUAUCGUACAUUAAGCUUCCCUAGAGAAAACCAACAAACCUCGUUUUCUAGGAGGGAGGGAAACUUAAAAAUUGUCUCUAUCUUCAUCUUUCAUUAUUGUGUUU